RNAcentral lists this ribosomal RNA (423 nucleotides) under uncultured Hymenobacter sp. Its description in RNAcentral is "bacterial SSU rRNA". It matches the Rfam family "Bacterial small subunit ribosomal RNA", at positions 355 to 776 of the family's 1533-position model. Lineage: Bacteria; Pseudomonadati; Bacteroidota; Cytophagia; Cytophagales; Hymenobacteraceae. The record is from RNAcentral.
UAGGGAAUAUUGGGCAAUGGGCGAGAGCCUGACCCAGCCAUGCCGCGUGCCGGAUGAAGGCCUUCUGGGUUGUAAACGGCUUUUCUCAGGGAAGAAAAAGAGGAUGCGUCCUAAACUGACGGUACCUGAGGAAUAAGCACCGGCUAACUCCGUGCCAGCAGCCGCGGUAAUACGGAGGGUGCAAGCGUUGUCCGGAUUUAUUGGGUUUAAAGGGUGCGUAGGCGGCCCGUUAAGUCCGGGGUGAAAGCCUCUUGCUCAACAAGAGAACUGCCCUGGAUACUGGCGGGCUUGAGUCCAGACGAGGUUGGCGGAAUGGAAGAUGUAGCGGUGAAAUGCAUAGAUAUCUUCCAGAACCCCGAUUGCGUAGGCAGCUGACUAGGCUGGUACUGACGCUGAGGCACGAAAGCGUGGGGAGCGAACAGG